RNAcentral lists this ribosomal RNA (288 nucleotides) under Triticum aestivum (bread wheat). Its description in RNAcentral is "partial small subunit ribosomal RNA". Lineage: Eukaryota; Viridiplantae; Streptophyta; Magnoliopsida; Poales; Poaceae. The record is from RNAcentral.
AUGGAUCUAUCUUUUUGGAGGUCAGUGCUGCCAUGGAUUUGGGCCUCAUUCCAUACCCUUCCUGGUGGUAAAAAUUCCACAGUUAGAAUGGAACUUCAAGAAUGUCAUUCAGCAUUGGAGGAGGCAAAGGCUGAUAUAGUUGGUCUGUGGGUGCUGAAUUUUCUUAUAAACAAGGGGUUGCUUCCUAAGAGCCUAUCAAAAUCUAUGUAUGUCUAUUUCCUGGCUGGAUGCUUUCGGUCAAUUAAUUGCUUCUUAUUGUACCACUCUAUUUUGGCUGCUCUUUUUUGA